Molecule: long non-coding RNA, 1386 nt
Filed under: Bos grunniens (domestic yak)
Lineage: Eukaryota; Metazoa; Chordata; Mammalia; Artiodactyla; Bovidae
Description: lncRNA (ENSBGRG00000009190.1)
Source: RNAcentral
UUGUGUUUCUCCUCCACAUGGAUGGAUUCUUCCCCUCACCUUGACCUUCUGCGCCUAGCACCUCUCUAUCUGAGCCUCACUCGUAGGAGCCAGGGACCCACCUGCUGGGUGGUGGAGGCAGAUUCCUCCAGUUGUCCAUCCAGGAAGAGAGCAGGCAUAGUUUGGUGCUUUUUCCUGUUGGAGAUCCCUCAGAGUGGCCCAGGCAGUGGUCAGGAAGAAGUCAGAUAUUACUGCUCUUAGAGAACCUGACGACUUAAUAGGUUGCCCCCCAGAUAGGACCCAGGCCCGCUGGGCAGGAACCAGAACCCUGUGGGAGGGUGUGAAGCGAACUUUGGGUCACCAGAUUGCUGACCUUUAGGGAGGGCGGGCCUCACUCUGCAUCUUGGGCCUCCGUCAAGGGCCUUGGCCUGCCAGGAAGUUGUACACACCAUCCAUUUUGAAGAAAGGAAAAUGGAAAUGGAAAGGGCACCCCUUAAACUUGAGGGCUCUUCCAGCCUCGUGGGCAGAGUGCACCGUGGGGCCAGCGUCUAGUCUGGGGAGGAACGGGUGCCUUCUGGUGCUGGGUUCCUGCCUUCUGCAGAGCCUCGGUGCUCCUGGCUCCUCAGUCAGACAUGAGGGACCAGGGCAGGUUUUAUUUUGGAGCAGUAUUUGUGGUGUUUUCCUUGAUUAUCUAGGACAUGGGAUUUGGGGAGGUGGAAAUGAUCUGCGGCAUCAUUUCUUCUUGUUGGGAUUUAGCCAGUUUGCCUGAAGCCUGUCUUUGGGCCCAGUGCUCAGUUUAUGUGGAUCAGGAGGUGGGCACGUGGAUCUGGCCAGUCGAGAUGCACACCUGGCCCUUGGCCGUCGUGGGUCUUGUGAACAGCUUCCAGAGAAAAUCGCAGAGCAAUAAACAGUUUUGGGCCCUGGACUUCACUGGGAGCUGGCGCCUUUCCACCCAUCAGAAUCCUUCCUAACAGGUCAGAUGGCAGACUCAGUAAGGAUGCUGAGCAGGUGGCCCCAUGAGUAUGAUUUUGAAGAAAGGAAAAUGGAAAUGGAAAGGGCACCCCUUAAACUUGAGGGCUCUUCCAGCCUCGGUGGAGAUCUGUGCCCAGCCCUGCAGCUAGCCUGAGGUUUUAGGAUUGUUGGGCAGGUCUGCUUUCAGUCGGGACGGGGUUCCUCCAGGAUUUUUCAGGGCCUGGACUGGCCUCAGGUCUGCGGUCCAGAUCCCCAGCGUGUGGCAGGCUGUGGGGCAUGUGCUUUCUCCCAGGACUGCUCCCCAAGCCCUGCCUUCCGCCUUGGGCCUGGCACCAGCCUCGUCCACAGGAGCAGAGAUCCCUGAUUUCAUUCAUAAUGUGUAUCAGAUGUUGAAACUUCGCCCCCGGGAUCCUGAGCCAGCUGUCAUGCUCCACU